Molecule: ribosomal RNA, 468 nt
Filed under: uncultured bacterium
Lineage: Bacteria
Description: partial 16S ribosomal RNA
Rfam family: Bacterial small subunit ribosomal RNA
Source: RNAcentral
GACGAACGCUGGCGGCGUGCUUAACACAUGCAAGUCGAACGGAAAGGCCCGGCUUUGGUGCGGUGCGCGAGUGGCGAACGGGUGAGUAACACGUGAGUAACCUGCCACUGACUUUGGGAUAACUUCAGGAAACUGGGGCUAAUCCCGGAUAGGAGCUCCUGCUGCAUGGUGGGGGUUGGAAAGUUUCGGCGGUUGGGGAUGGACUGGCGGCUUAUCAGCUUGUUGGUGGGGUAGUGGAUUAGCAAGGCCUUGAAGGGUAGCCGGGCUGGGCGGGUGACCGGACCAAUUGCGACUGAGAUGAGGCCCAGACUACUACGGGAGGCAGAGGUGGGGAAUAUUGUAUAAUGGGAGGAGGCAUGAUGUAGCAACGCCGCGUGCGGGGAGAGGGCAUGGGGGUUGUAAACUGCUUUCGCCUGUGACGAGACGAGAGUGACGGUACUGGGUAAAGAAGCACCGGCUAACUACGUG